UGUAGACCAAUCAAUUUUCUUACGUAUAUGCUUAUGUGCUUAUGCAAGUUUGUGUGGAUAUACCAUUAGGACCAUCACACACAAAGGCCGGAAUUUAUAGUCGAAUCUUAUUCAAGUUCCAGCUUAAGCACGAUCUUGAGACGUCAAUGCUGUUAUUUCAUUGGUUAAGUAAGUCUCAAGUCGGCUCGAAGCUAGACUUAAGACAAUGCUUGAGCUUAAGAUCGGUCUAUGAAUCCCGUCCACAGAGUCGUUUUGACAUAUCCGCGCGUCAAAAAUAAUAAAUAUUGUCCAAUCAGUUGUAGAAUGUUGUAGACAGCCAGAAAACAAUUUCCUGCAGAGUAAAGCUGCCAAAUUCUGAGCCUGCUAUGUUUCCAAGUGUGCCAAAAUUAUAGAAAAUGUGCUACCCACAUUGGCAUUUGCAAGAAUGAGUUUGGGGAUACCAAUGGAAUGCUUGUCCAAAAAUCAAGGAUCAUUUCGCUAUUGUGAUUCGUUCAUGCCAAAAAUUGUGGAUGCCUCGCGAAACUUUGAAUACGCUUUUAGUGCUCAGAAAGAUAAAUGGUAAAUAAUAUUAUGCAUUUUAAAAUAUGUGAAUAAACGGUUUUAAGCUCGA
Molecule: long non-coding RNA, 610 nt
Organism: Monomorium pharaonis (pharaoh ant)
Lineage: Eukaryota; Metazoa; Arthropoda; Insecta; Hymenoptera; Formicidae
Exons: 4
Source: RefSeq, a predicted model, not a curated record